RNAcentral lists this ribosomal RNA (440 nucleotides) under uncultured bacterium. RNAcentral's name for it is "partial 16S ribosomal RNA". It matches the Rfam family "Bacterial small subunit ribosomal RNA", at positions 338 to 795 of the family's 1533-position model. The record is from RNAcentral.
CCUACGGGUGGCAGCAGUGGGGAAUAUUGCACAAUGGGCGAAACCCUGAUGCAGCGACGCCGCGUGAGUGAAGAAGUAUUUCGGUAUGUAAAGCUCUAUCAGCAGGGAAGAAAAUGACGGUACCUGAUUCAGAAGCCCCGGCUAACUACGUGCCAGCAGCCGCGGUAAUACGUAGGGGGCAAGCGUUAUCCGGAUGUACUGGGUGUAAAGGGAGCGUAGACGGCAGGACAAGUCUGGAGUGAAAUGCCGGGGCUUAACCCGGGAACUGCUUUGGAAACUGGGCAGCUAGAGUGCAGGAGAGGUAGGUGGAAUUCCUGGUGUAGCGGUGAAAUGCGUAGAGAUCAGGAGGAACACCGGUGGCGAAGGCGGCUUACUGGACUGUGACUGACGUUGAGGCUCGAAAGCGUGGGGAGCAAACAGGAUUAGAUACCCUAGUAGUC